CCUACGGGAGGCAGCAGUGAGGAAUCUUGGUCAAUGGACGAGAGUCUGAACCAGCCAAGUAGCGUGAAGGAUGACUGCCCUAUGGGUUGUAAACUUCUUUUAUAUGGGAAUAAAACGUUCCACGUGUGGGAUUUUGUAUGUACCAUAUGAAUAAGGAUCGGCUAAGUCCGUGACAGCAGCCGCGGUCAUACGGAGGAUCCGAGCGUUAUCCGGAUUUAUUGGGGUUAAAGGGAGCGUAGGUGGUUUGAUAAGUCAGUUGUGAAAGUUUGCGGCUCAACCGUAAAAUUGCAGUUGAAACUGGCAGUCGUGAGUACAGAAGAGGUGGGCGGAAUUCGUGGUGUAGCGGUGAAAUGCUUAGAUAUCACGAAGAACUCCGAUUGCGAAGGCAGCUCACUGGACUGCAACUGACACUGAGGCUCGAAAGUGUGGGUAUCAAACAGGAUUAGAUACCCGUGUAGUC
This 460-nucleotide ribosomal RNA is filed under the name uncultured bacterium. RNAcentral describes it as "partial 16S ribosomal RNA". It matches the Rfam family "Bacterial small subunit ribosomal RNA", at positions 338 to 795 of the family's 1533-position model. The record is from RNAcentral.